GACGAACGCUGGCGGCGUGCCUAAUACAUGCAAGUAGAACGCUGAAGGAGGAACUUGCUUCUCCGGAUGAGUUGCGAACGGGUGAGUAACGCGUAGGUAACCUGCCUGGUAGCGGGGGAUAACUAUUGGAAACGAUAGCUAAUACCGCAUAACAGUAGAUAUCGCAUGAUAUCUGCUUGAAAGGUGCAAUUGCAUCACUACCAGAUGGACCUGCGUUGUAUUAGCUAGUUGGUGAGGUAACGGCUCACCAAGGCGACGAUACAUAGCCGACCUGAGAGGGUGAUCGGCCACACUGGGACUGAGACACGGCCCAGACUCCUACGGGAGGCAGCAGUAGGGAAUCUUCGGCAAUGGACGGAAGUCUGACCGAGCAACGCCGCGUGAGUGAAGAAGGUUUUCGGAUCGUAAAGCUCUGUUGUAAGAGAAGAACGAGUGUGAGAGUGGAAAGUUCACACUGUGACGGUAUCUUACCAGAAAGGGACGGCUAACUACGUG
RNAcentral lists this ribosomal RNA (495 nucleotides) under uncultured bacterium. RNAcentral's name for it is "partial 16S ribosomal RNA". It matches the Rfam family "Bacterial small subunit ribosomal RNA", at positions 28 to 507 of the family's 1533-position model. The record is from RNAcentral.